GUGGGAGAAAGCCUAACAGCUCAGACUGUGACGCUCCGCGGCUUUCGUUCCCUCGUGACGUCAGAGGACACCUGCCACCGGUCCACCUGGGCGUGCGGCUUGCGGACCACCUUCCGUGGCCGCUGCACAGCCUCGGACGCGGCGGGGCGUUGCUCCAGGAAGAAACGAGAGACGGGGCCACGGGCGGGGGGGGAGUGGGAGGAAACCGCAGCCUCCUCGCCUGGAUCCCACGCGGCUGGUCGCGGGGCCUCAGGCCGGAGCCCGUCCGCCAGCCCGCAUCCCUCCAGGAGGACCUUCUGUCCCGCCUCCAGGGCCGCGACCCAGGCAAGCGCCUCGUCCCGCACCCGCCGAAGAGAUGCUGCGGUUUUAGGGAUGAAGCAAGCUGUGGACUGGAUCCCCCGCGGGCAGCAGAGGAUUCCUACCCCUGGGAGGGACACGAUUGCUUAGGGUCUACGUUAACUGCUCCCGGUGCGCUGGCCUUGGCCAAGUACUAAAGCCCGCAAUACUCGGCGUCCAUUCAGCAAGCGCUGAUGGUGCCUCUUGCUUGAUCGAUCACCCACCGCUCCCAGCGCUCUGUCCGCCUGUCCCUCUGCAGAGCCGUCCUCCGGCCACACCCGCAGCAGCUCGAGCUCCCGCACGCAGUCACCACCACGCACGCGUUCUGUCCUCUAGCCUGUAGGGCGACCUCACAGGACACACUACCGGUGCCUGCAGGGAGUGCGCGUACUUUCUCGACGCUGCAAACUCUUGGGAGGAACAGUCAGAAGCAGUCGUUCUGGUUAAUAACAGGCUUUCCAGUCCCGUCUGCAGGGCUGCCCAAGGAUGCGACAUACCCUCCCGUAAAAUAAGUCUAUUUUCAGUACCUAUGCGUAACCAGGAGUACAGCCACGAGAGACCACGAUUUACCUGUCUGGCACAUCAUCUCCCAAGGCCUGCAGGACACCGCAAAGAGGCAACUCGAGUUCUCCAGCACCCACUGCAGCAUCCUGUUUCUUUCUCUAAAAUCUGUCUCUCAGCCAUUCAUCACCAUGACAGCAUUACCAGAACUGGGAGGAUUGAUCACACACUCUCCCCUGAGGCAGGUGGUAAUACAGCUCAUUAAUUUGGGAGAUUUCUAAGUGCUUGGCGACAUCAACUGAUAAAAGAGACAAAAUUACUGCCUUUCUUGAGACAGAAGAGGAACAUCCUGCUUGUGUCAAUGAUAUAUAUAUGUCAUUGAUAUAUAUAUAUGUCAAUGAUAUAUAGAGAAGGUCAUCAGAGCUACAGAAAAAAAAAAAAGGUGAAGUGGUAAAUCAGAAAGGGUGAGACUG
Molecule: long non-coding RNA, 1310 nt
Organism: Canis lupus familiaris (dog)
Lineage: Eukaryota; Metazoa; Chordata; Mammalia; Carnivora; Canidae
Exons: 5
Source: RefSeq, a predicted model, not a curated record